GAUGAAGAACGUAGCGAAAUGCGAUAAGUAAUGUGAAUUGCAGAAUUCAGUGAAUCAUCGAAUCUUUGAACGCACAUCGCGCCCGCCAGUAUUCUGGCGGGCAUGCCUGUCUGAGCGUCAUUUCAACCCUCAUGCCCCUAGGGCGUGGUGUUGGGGAUCGGCCAAAGCCCGCGAGGGACGGCCGGCCCCUAAAUCUAGUGGCGGACCCGUCGUGGCCUCCUCUGCGAAGUAGUGAUAUUCCGCAUCGGAGAGCGAUGAGCCCCUGCCGUUAAACCCCCAACUUUCCAAGGUUGACCUCAGAUCAGGUAGGAAUACCCGCUGAACUUAAGCAUAUCAAUAAGCGGAGGA
This 348-nucleotide unclassified non-coding RNA is filed under the name soil metagenome. RNAcentral describes it as "partial contains 5.8S ribosomal RNA, internal transcribed spacer 2, and large subunit ribosomal RNA". The stretch from base 1 to 120 matches the Rfam family "5.8S ribosomal RNA", at positions 35 to 154 of the family's 154-position model. The record is from RNAcentral.